RNAcentral lists this small nucleolar RNA (148 nucleotides) under Erinaceus europaeus (western European hedgehog). RNAcentral describes it as "Small nucleolar RNA SNORA61". It matches the Rfam family "Small nucleolar RNA SNORA61". Rfam says of the family: ACA61 is a member of the H/ACA class of snoRNA that guide the sites of modification of uridines to pseudouridines. Lineage: Eukaryota; Metazoa; Chordata; Mammalia; Eulipotyphla; Erinaceidae. The record is from Rfam by way of RNAcentral.
GACCUCUGGUUCCCUGUCCUAUCAGAUCUGAAUGUUGGUCUUGGUAAUCAUAACAGGAGGGCUAGCAAUACUGGAAAAAAAAAAAAAAAAGCUGGCUUCACAGGCUCUGGAGUCUGCCAUUCAAUAUGUGGGCUAGUUACAAACAAAU